AAAGUAUUUAUCACUUUUUUUUUUUUAUGGGCAUGGACUUAUAAAGACAAAGCACGUAUAAGAAAUAUAUUAAACACAAAAUACGAUAGAUUGUUAGCUCAAUAUGAUAUCUCUCCAGACGACUGUUUUAAUUAUUCUACAGUAGAUUAUACUAAUAAUAAAACAUGUGAUGACUGUGGUAAAAA
This is a long non-coding RNA of Piliocolobus tephrosceles (Ugandan red Colobus), 185 nucleotides long. RefSeq lists it as uncharacterized. NCBI's taxonomy places the organism in Eukaryota, Metazoa, Chordata, Mammalia, Primates, Cercopithecidae. The transcript is spliced from 2 exons. The record is from RefSeq and is a predicted model, not a curated record.